Molecule: ribosomal RNA, 560 nt
Filed under: Madurella tropicana
Lineage: Eukaryota; Fungi; Ascomycota; Sordariomycetes; Sordariales
Description: partial 28S ribosomal RNA
Rfam family: Eukaryotic large subunit ribosomal RNA
Source: RNAcentral
GCAUAUCAAUAAGCGGAGGAAAAGAAACCAACAGGGAUUGCCCUAGUAACGGCGAGUGAAGCGGCAACAGCUCAAAUUUGAAAUCUGGCCUCGGCCCGAGUUGUAAUUUGUAGAGGAAGCUUUUGGCGCGGCACCUUCUGAGUCCCCUGGAACGGGGCGCCAUAGAGGGUGAGAGCCCCGUAUAGUUGGAUGCCUAGCCUCUGUAAAGCUCCUUCGACGAGUCGAGUAGUUUGGGAAUGCUGCUCAAAAUGGGAGGUAAAUUUCUUCUAAAGCUAAAUACCGGCCAGAGACCGAUAGCGCACAAGUAGAGUGAUCGAAAGAUGAAAAGCACUUUGAAAAGAGGGUUAAAUAGCACGUGAAAUUGUUGAAAGGGAAGCGCUUGUGACCAGACUUGCGCCGGGCUGAUCAUCCGGUGUUCUCACCGGUGCACUCUGCCCGGCUCAGGCCAGCAUCGGUUCUCGCGGGGGGACAAAGGCCCUGGGAACGUAGCUCCUCCGGGAGUGUUAUAGCCCAGGGCGUAAUGCCCUCGCGGGGACCGAGGUUCGCGCUCUGCAAGGAUG